RNAcentral lists this ribosomal RNA (495 nucleotides) under uncultured bacterium. RNAcentral's name for it is "bacterial SSU rRNA". It matches the Rfam family "Bacterial small subunit ribosomal RNA", at positions 24 to 518 of the family's 1533-position model. The record is from RNAcentral.
UCAGGAUGAACGCUGGCGGCGUGCCUAAUACAUGCAAGUCGAGCGAGAACUUGAUGAUGGAAGAUUCGUCUGAAAGAUCAAGGGAAAGCGGCGGACGGGUGAGUAACGCGUAGGCAACCUGCCCUUAGCAGAGGGAUAGCCAUUGGAAACGAUGAUUAAAACCUCAUAACGCUUUGGAGACACAUGUCUUUAAAGCCAAAGAUUUAUCGGCUAAGGAUGGGCCUGCGUCUGAUUAACUGGUUGGUGAGGUAACGGCUCACCAAGGUGACGAUCAGUGGCCGACCUGAGAGGGUGAUCGGCCACAUUGGAACUGAGACACGGUCCAAACUUCUACGGAAGGCAGCAGUAAGGAAUCUUGCACAAUGGGGGAAACCCUGAUGCAGCAACGCCGCGUGAACGAAGAAGGCCUUCGGGUUGUAAAGUUCUGAUCUUGGGGAAGAAGGAAGUGACGGUACCCAAGGAGAAAGCCCCGGCUAACUACGUGCCAGCAGCCGC